Molecule: transfer RNA, 75 nt
Filed under: Actinomycetes bacterium
Lineage: Bacteria; Bacillati; Actinomycetota; Actinomycetes
Description: tRNA-Val
Rfam family: tRNA
About the family: Transfer RNA (tRNA) molecules are approximately 80 nucleotides in length. Their secondary structure includes four short double-helical elements and three loops (D, anti-codon, and T loops). Further hydrogen bonds mediate the characteristic L-shaped molecular structure. tRNAs have two regions of fundamental functional importance: the anti-codon, which is responsible for specific mRNA codon recognition, and the 3' end, to which the tRNAs corresponding amino acid is attached (by aminoacyl-tRNA synthetases). tRNAs cope with the degeneracy of the genetic code in two manners: having more than one tRNA (with a specific anti-codon) for a particular amino acid; and 'wobble' base-pairing, i.e. permitting non-standard base-pairing at the 3rd anti-codon position.
Source: RNAcentral
GGGCGAUUAGCUCAGCGGAAGAGCGCUGCCUCGACACGGCAGAGGUCACUAGUUCAAGCCUAGUAUCGCCCACCA